RNAcentral lists this ribosomal RNA (859 nucleotides) under uncultured bacterium. RNAcentral describes it as "SSU rRNA". It matches the Rfam family "Bacterial small subunit ribosomal RNA", at positions 524 to 1381 of the family's 1533-position model. The record is from RNAcentral.
UACGUAGGGUGCGAGCGUUAAUCGGAAUUACUGGGCGUAAAGCGUGCGCAGGCGGUUUUGUAAGACAGGCGUGAAAUCCCCGGGCUCAACCUGGGGACUGCGCUUGUGACUGCAAGGCUAGAGUACGGCAGAGGGGGGUGGAAUUCCACGUGUAGCAGUGAAAUGCGUAGAGAUGUGGAGGAACACCAAUGGCGAAGGCAGCCCCCUGGGUCGAUACUGACGCUCAUGCACGAAAGCGUGGGUAGCAAACAGGAUUAGAUACCCUGGUAGUCCACGCCCUAAACGAUGUCAACUAGGUGUUGGGUGGGUAAAACCAUUUAGUACCGUAGCUAACGCGUGAAGUUGACCGCCUGGGGAGUACGGCCGCAAGGUUAAAACUCAAAGGAAUUGACGGGGACCCGCACAAGCGGUGGAUGAUGUGGAUUAAUUCGAUGCAACGCGAAAAACCUUACCUACCCUUGACAUGUCUGGAAUCCCGAAGAGAUUUGGGAGUGCCCGAAAGGGAGCCGGAACACAGGUGCUGCAUGGCUGUCGUCAGCUCGUGUCGUGAGAUGUUGGGUUAAGUCCCGCAACGAGCGCAACCCUUGUCGUUAAUUGCCAUCAUUUAGUUGGGCACUUUAACGAGACUGCCGGUGACAAACCGGAGGAAGGUGGGGAUGACGUCAAGUCCUCAUGGCCCUUAUGGGUAGGGCUUCACACGUCAUACAAUGGUCGGUACAGAGGGUUGCCAAGCCGCGAGGUGGAGCCAAUCCCAGAAAGCCGAUCGUAGUCCGGAUUGCAGGCUGCAACUCGCCUGCAUGAAGUCGGAAUCGCUAGUAAUCGCGGAUCAGCAUGUCGCGGUGAAUACGUUCCCGGGUCU